Molecule: ribosomal RNA, 327 nt
Filed under: uncultured eukaryote
Lineage: Eukaryota
Description: partial 18S ribosomal RNA
Rfam family: Eukaryotic small subunit ribosomal RNA
Source: RNAcentral
CCCUUAGAUGUUCUGGGCUGCACGCGCGCUACAAUGAUGCAUUCAACGAGCAUAGCUGCCUCGAAAGAAAGCGGCGAAUCUUUUGAAACUGCAUCGUGACGGGGAUAGAUGAUUGUAAUUAUUCAUCUUCAACGAGGAAUUCCUAGUAAGUGCAAGUCAUCAACUUGCGCUGAUUACGUCCCUGCCCUUUGUACACACCGCCCGUCGCUCCUACCGAUUGAAUGUGUUGGUGAGGAGCUCGGAUUGGCAGCAGUUGGUGGUUCGCCACCGGCUAUUGCUGAGAAGUCCUCCAAACCGCCCCAUUUAGAGGAAGGAGAAGUCGUAACA